GACGAACGCUGGCGGCGUGCUUAACACAUGCAAGUCGAACGGAAAGGCCCUGCUUUUGUGGGGUGCUCGAGUGGCGAACGGGUGAGUAACACGUGAGUAACCUGCCCUUGACUUUGGGAUAACUUCAGGAAACUGGGGCUAAUACCGGAUAGGAGCUCCUGCUGCAUGGUGGGGGUUGGAAAGUUUCGGCGGUUGGGGAUGGACUCGCGGCUUAUCAGCUUGUUGGUGGGGUAGUGGCUUACCAAGGCUUUGACGGGUAGCCGGCCUGAGAGGGUGACCGGCCACAUUGGAACUGAGAUACGGCCCAGACUCCUACGGGAGGCAGCAGUGGGGAAUAUUGCACAAUGGGCGGAAGCCUGAUGCAGCAACGCCGCGUGCGGGAGGACGGCCUUCGGGUUGUAAACCGCUUUCGCCUGUGACGAAGCGUGAGUGACGGUAAUGGGUAAAGAAGCACCGGCUAACUACGU
Molecule: ribosomal RNA, 467 nt
Filed under: uncultured bacterium
Lineage: Bacteria
Description: partial 16S ribosomal RNA
Rfam family: Bacterial small subunit ribosomal RNA
Source: RNAcentral